UGUAUACUUGAAGUUUAUGCUCAGUGGGAAUAAAGCAACAGAUGUGACAGCACUACUUUGGAAAUUUGUAAAACUCCAAUAUUGUAUUCAUAAUAUAUUUUUUUUGUAAGAAAAUUAAAAAAACGUUACAGCAAGUUAUAUGCAAAACCUUGGGCAUAUUAAUAUUCAUUAAAUUUACUAUCCCCUAAAUGUUACAAAUCGGAGCCCACCCAAGUGAAUUCAAAAUGAGCCGAUCUGUUUGUUUAAAAGCCCUGAGAGAUCUAUGAACAAAUCCUAUAAUACAGAUAUAUGCUCCGUCCUCAUUACUGCAACCAACCCCAUGGAGAGAGAAUUCAAUUUUUCAGAGCUCACAAAUCACAUAUUUCUAAUAUAAAAGUGGUUUGAUAAACAAAAUAUUAAAAUAAGUAAUAACAGUUUCACUUGUAAGCACAGGUAAUCUCUUACCUGCUGUACCCGGUAAAUGCAUGGUAUACGGACAUGCAUGGUAUACUUUUGGCUUUGGAGGCAAGUACAAAUAAAUGUGUUUUUUCACAGAAAACUUAUGCAGACAUUAUAUGAGUUUGUCGGAUGGAGGUUGCUGGAGUCACAAAGUAACAUUUCUUUCUUCUAUUAUGACCUGUGAUGUAUAAAGGAUCUUUCACGGAGAUCUGUAUAUGCCUAAGUGAUGCAGACUCUCUUUCCCAUAAUGCAGUUGGCACCAAUGUCUCCUCUCACCUGGCUCUUCCAAACACAUACAUCUGGCAGACAGGGCUGCUCUAUUUUCUACAAUAAACUAAGAAAUAUCACAGUGUUCCAGUACAGACAAGGACAGCACUGAUAUUGUACAAACUCACACAGUGCUGUAUAAUUCAUGUCUACUGCCUCACACUCUCAGUAUUGUGCCAACAUACAUCCCAGCGCACCUCCAGUUGCUGAUGAAUGGUGCUAGGAGGCUGCAGUUUAAAACCCCUGUAUACUUGUGUCCAAAGGGUGAUUGCCUCCCAGUGCUCCCCUUACCAGCUCUUCCAAAUGGUAUGGUUAUUGUGUGUAUCCAUUAUGCAAGUUGAACAUAUCUUAUUGGUGAUGUGUUUUUUUAGAUUGGGAGUUUGUUGUUUCCAGUAGUGUCCUCCCUGGUGCUCACCUAUAAUGUAUAACAUAACACAGACCAGUGGGAUGUAAGACAGAUAGUUGAUGUGAUCUGGAGAUGAGCCUUGGUUAGCUGUGAUGAUGGUGAGAUUGGUGGAAUUGUGAUGG
This is a non-coding RNA of Pelobates cultripes (western spadefoot toad), 1233 nucleotides long. The record is from the annotation of a GenBank genome assembly. Lineage: Eukaryota; Metazoa; Chordata; Amphibia; Anura; Pelobatidae.